AGCAAAGAAAAGAUACACAUCUAUAGGAAAGAUUUUCAUCUGUUCAGUGCCAAGAACAAAUUUUCCUGCUAAGAAUUCUUGCCAGUCUGUGAUUAUUCUAAGCAUAUUUCUCACUUGUAUUUGUUGACCAAUGUUUUAAUACUCCUCUUUCCUUCCUCCUCUUUAUUCCCUCAUUCCUAACAUUGCCCUUUACUGUUUUAUUUGCUACUUAGUCAUAUUUGUUCCUAUUCCUUCUCUCCUGGUGUUGAUGUUUUCACAUUUUUCUAUUGUUUGUCAGCUUGCAGCAUGUGGACUGCAGGUUCACAGAUGUCAGAAAAUGGAACUGCAUUAGUUAAGACUUUGGUGGGGGUGAGAAAGGAAGAAGAAAUCUUCAUUCUGUCUUUUGAGAUGGAAAAAUGGCAGUUAUUUAUACUGGGAAUUUUGGAAAAUGAUUUUCUGAGUGGCACAUUUACAGAACAGUCUUUGUACUAAAAUGUUAGGAGCUAGAAGAGGUGGACUCCUUCCCAGCUCCAAGAAAAUAAUGUCUCCAACUACCUUGAGUUCUUUCCAUAAUUUUUUUUGCAUGUGAACAGAAUGUUACUCAUAAACUUCCUUCAAAACA
Long non-coding RNA from Empidonax traillii (willow flycatcher), 601 nucleotides. RefSeq lists it as uncharacterized. The record is from RefSeq and is a predicted model, not a curated record. NCBI's taxonomy places the organism in Eukaryota, Metazoa, Chordata, Aves, Passeriformes, Tyrannidae. The transcript has 3 exons.